GACGAACGCUGGCGGCGUGCCUAAUACAUGCAAGUCGAGCGCUGAAGGUUGGUACUUGUACCUCCUGGAUGAGCAGCGAACGGGUGAGUAACGCGUGGGUAAUCUGCCUUUGAGCGGGGGACAACAUCUGGAAACGAAUGCUAAUACCGCAUAAAAACUUUAAACACAUGUUUUAAGUUUGAAAGACGCAAUUGCAUCACCCAAAGAUUAUCCCGCGUUGUAUUAGCUAGGUGGUGAGGUAAAGGCUCACCAAGGCGAUGAUACAUAGCCGACCUGAGAGGGUGAUCGGCCACAUUGGGACUGAGACACGGCCCAAACUCCUACGGGAGGGAGCAGGAGGGAAUCUUCGGCAAUGGACGAAAGUCUGACCGAGCAACGCCGCGGGAGUGAAGAAGGGUUUCGGAUCGUAAAAAUCUGUUGGUAGGGAAGAACGUUGGUGGGAGUGGAAAGCUCAUCAAGUGACGGUAACUACCCAGAAAGGGACGGCUAACUACGUG
RNAcentral lists this ribosomal RNA (497 nucleotides) under uncultured bacterium. RNAcentral describes it as "partial 16S ribosomal RNA". It matches the Rfam family "Bacterial small subunit ribosomal RNA", at positions 28 to 507 of the family's 1533-position model. The record is from RNAcentral.